UACGGAGGAUCCGAGCGUUAUCCGGAUUUAUUGGGUUUAAAGGGUGCGCAGGCGGGGGAUUAAGUCGGCGGUGAAAUUUUGCAGCUCAACUGUAAAAGUGCCUUCGAAACUGGUUUCCUUGAGUGUAGAUGAAGUAGGCGGAAUUUGUGGUGUAGCGGUGAAAUGCAUAGAUAUCACGAGGAACUCCGAUUGCGCAGGCAGCUUACUAAACUACUACUGACGCUCAGGCACGAAGACGUGGGGAUCAAACAGGAUUAGAUACCCCCGUAGUCCCU
RNAcentral lists this ribosomal RNA (275 nucleotides) under uncultured prokaryote. Its description in RNAcentral is "partial 16S ribosomal RNA". It matches the Rfam family "Bacterial small subunit ribosomal RNA", at positions 524 to 798 of the family's 1533-position model. The record is from RNAcentral.